This 244-nucleotide ribosomal RNA is filed under the name uncultured bacterium. RNAcentral describes it as "partial 16S ribosomal RNA". It matches the Rfam family "Bacterial small subunit ribosomal RNA", at positions 524 to 767 of the family's 1533-position model. The record is from RNAcentral.
UACGAAGGGGGCUAGCGUUGCUCGGAAUGACUGGGCGUAAAGGGCGCGUAGGCGGCUUGCACCGUCAGAUGUGAAAUUCCUGGGCUUAACCUGGGGGCUGCAUUUGAUACGUGUGGGCUUGAGUGCGGAAGAGGGUCGUGGAAUUCCCAGUGUAGAGGUGAAAUUCGUAGAUAUUGGGAAGAACACCGGUGGCGAAGGCGGCGACCUGGUCCAUUACUGACGCUGAGGCGCGACAGCGUGGGGA